Molecule: long non-coding RNA, 3552 nt
Organism: Cavia porcellus (domestic guinea pig)
Lineage: Eukaryota; Metazoa; Chordata; Mammalia; Rodentia; Caviidae
Exons: 2
Source: RefSeq, a predicted model, not a curated record
CGCUGGGACGGGACGUGGGAAAGUGAUCGCGCGUCACACCGGAUGUCGCCGGCCCACUGUGCCGUUUCUAGGUCGCGGCCCGCCUGGAGUGGCACCUGGGCGAGCGGGUGGGAGCAUGCGUGUCCGUGUCCCUCCGCGCCCUUUUGUGAAUGGCGACUUGGCUGUCGUGGCCACCGGUGCGGGGUCGACUGCUGUCUCCAUCCUAAGAGCGCCGAGCCGCCGCGGCAGCUCCAGGCGGCACCGUUGCCUUUGUUCUCAUCUGCUGCCGUCCCGGCGGGUCCGGCUGCGUCUUGCGGCGUCCUCACGUUCCUACGAAGGGUCGUGAAGAGACGCACAAAGUUUCCGUUCGUUUGCGCAGCGCCGGCCUGGCGGUCCAGGGAGCGGGGCUUGAGAAGUCGUGUGAGGUCCUGUGCUAUUUUCAGACCCUGGGGCAAUGCUUGAUGAUUCCUAAAAGCUCUUUUGCGGUGUGAAAGGCACCAGUGCUUUGUAUGAACCAAACGUAGUUUGAGCUCAGCUUAGGCGCUUGGUAAAUUCAGGAAGUCCUUGACAUGUUACAGACGUUUCGUUAAUGAUCACAGCUGCGUCGAGGUCGUUAUUGCGACUGGUCUCAUUAUGUAGGUGAAUCAAUCACCAAAAGGAGAGAAGAUGGCCAGAGUAAUGUCGAAGUCUGAGUCAGGGAUUCUAAUUCGGCCCUCUGACUUCAAAGCCUGUGUGUGUUUGUCACCUAAAGUUACAAAAGGAGGUCAGGCUUGAAAAGUGCAUGAUGACUGGGGUCAUAAUGUUUGUACGAACUAUCUGCAAAAUGUACAAAGCUUGAUUAUUUGUGUUAGCUAAUUGUUUAAGCGGCCAAGAAUCAUCUUUCUAGAUAAAAGAUCGUGGUCUUUCAAGUAAAUUUGCAUAGGAAAGAAUCUGUGUGCCCUCUUAAUUAAUGGAAUUAUUUGCUCAGUACUGUCUACCUAAGAUAAUGUCCCACCUAUUUGGUAGUAUAGGUUUGUUGAGGUGUACUGUCCUUGAAUGUAAACUCAACUGCCUGACCUCUUGUCCAAUGUUAGUGGGCUGCCUACUCUUUUAUUUUUAUUCCCUCUUCUUGGGGGAGUGACUUCUAGUUGCAGUUCUUGUCAGAGAACAGAAGAAUGCUGCCUGCUUUCCUGAAGACUCAUUGUGUUAAUUUCCAUCUCUGUGACAAACAACCAAGAUACCCUGUGCCGUCUCCUGGCUCUUUAUCUGACGACUGCAGGUACAGUGCACAGACUGCGGUGCAGCUGCUCCAGCGGAAGCAAUGUCCCUUGCCAGAUUCUUGACGUGCUAAGACUUUAGGAUGUGGCUCAAACGGCAGUUACUUAAACUCUGUAAGUCAGGCUUUUUAACAGUCCUGCGUACUAUUUCUUCUCUCCAUUAGAUGUUAUGUACCAUAUAAUGACCUAUUUAUCUUCCUCUUCGGACUGAUUUCCUCCAAGUGUAGGAGCCCCAGGUUCUCAGCGGAUCUGCUUCUUUGCACCUCGUCCAUCCUUCCUCUUGGAAAUCUGGGGCUGGUUAAUUGGGUGUGCAACUGCCUUCACAGGGGUGGCAGUGCUGUGGACUCAUCUGAAGGCUCAACAGGGGAAGAUUGACUCCCACACGCACCCCAGAGACUGUUGGUAGGAUUCUGGUCCUCAUGGACGGCUGGGCUGAGCGCUCCAAUUUCUCACAGGCUCUGGGGUGCAGGCCUGCUUUGGUUGAUUUGGGAGGGGCCUCUCCAUUGGGAAGUUCCAGUGUGGUCACUGAUUCUGUCACCUAGAGCAAGUAAGAGGGAAAGAAAAGGCAAGCAAGUUGGACACCAGUAGUGCUCUUUUUUUAUAGCACAGUCUUGGAAGUGACAGCCUGUCAUUUUGUCACAUUCUAUUUGUAUAAAGGCAAGGCAGUAAAUCCUUGAAGAAGAGAGAAGCUCACAAGGACACGGAUACCGCGACAGGGACCCUGGGUCACUGAGGGUCGUCUUAGACAGUGCCUGCCCUGCAGUCUGUAAUGAUUAAUAGUACGUUUCACAGGCUGGUAUGUGGACUGCCUCACACUCUCUUGUAUGAGAGAAGGAUGCAUUUUUUGUUUUUAUACAUCAGUUUAGAUUAAAAAUUAUAAAGGUUUAGUAUGUUGCUUUGCCUUGUGUCUGACACUGUGUAUAACACAGGAUUCCAGAUACUGCAGUAGAAAUAGGAGAGAGAGAGAUACUAACAAGGCAAGGGUUAGAAAUUUUAUACAUACAUUUAUUGGGAUUUUUUUUCUCAUUCCUGUCUAUCUCAAUUUUAAAACUAAAAAACGUUUUACAAAUGCUCCAUGCAUAGGCAAAAUUCAGUAAAUCUUAGUUAUAUUACUGUUAGCAUUAUUUUUAUUACUUCCCACCCGUUCGACAUGACUUACGUUUUUUCCUAUUAGAUCAAUCAACCUUGAACUGGAGAGGUUGAUUUCAGCUACUUCUACCCUAUUUUCCCAGCAAUAAGUGAUCUUUUCAGAAUUCUGUCUUUCUUUGCUUUUCUUUCCUGGGGGUGCGUGGGUAACUGGGAAUUGAACUCAGGACCUCAUGCUUGCUAGGCAGGUGCUGUGCCACUGAGCUAAGUCCCUGGCCCUCUCUUACAGAAUUCUGUAUGACAAGAUGGGGCAUUUACAAAGGUCUUUUGCUUCAUAUUCAUAGACAAUGCUCGUCUCAAGGAAAAGCAUUCAUGUAAUUAUUUGACAUGGGAGCUCAAUUAGCUCUGUUUCUCUUGUGAAAUAGAAUCCUCACUUGAAAUUAUGAUACAUGAACUAUAGUUAUUCAGACUUAAGUAGUUGGCAAACAUUUUCUUGAAAAAGAGCUAAGUGAGAUUAUCACUUCAUGGAAAACUGCUGAUGUUAUUCAUUGCCAAUGAUAAAAUGCAAUCUUUCAAGCAAAAUUUGCAGGUUUGGAAAACUUGUAUUUGCUGCCAUGAGCUUCACAGCUGUGUGAAGACUAACUUUCCCAUAGAUUCAAGUGGUGAUAUUAAUAAACAUGAUUUUAAAAUCAUUUUUAAAUAAGCAUUUGGAAGAUCUGCAUGACUUGUUGAGCUGAUAUGCUUAAAAAGAGAAAUGCAUGAGAUUAUAAAAUUAUGCAUGGGUCAAAAACUUGUUCAAAGUGAAAAGUGAGUUGUUGGAUUUUAAUGUAACAGGAUGAAAAUUUAUUGAUGUAGUUUCAGAUUAUACAUUACAAUUAAUCUUUAAAAAAUCACAAUUUGUUAUUUUGAUUUAUUGUCAAAAAUUAUGCUUUUCAAUUACCUGACAAGAUUUUAAAAUAUACUUUUCUAACAUUUUCCAACCAUGUUCAACAAAAAUAACAUUGUACAAAAUAACUUUUUGUUUCUUGAGGCAGAGUCUCAUUGUGUUUCCUAGGGUGUCUGAGAUCUCAUGGGCUCAAGUGAUCCUCUUGCCUCAGCCUCUCUCAGUAGCUGGGAGUACAGGCAUGUACCACCUUUCCAGGCUAAAAAUAGCAUAGUCUGAAUGUAAGCAUGGAUGGGAUUAUCGUGUAAUUUCUUUGUUAAAACAGACAUUAAAGAGAUUUGAAACAAA